Molecule: non-coding RNA, 96 nt
Organism: Jackrogersella minutella
Lineage: Eukaryota; Fungi; Ascomycota; Sordariomycetes; Xylariales; Hypoxylaceae
Source: the annotation of a GenBank genome assembly
UCCUCCGUGGCGCAAUUGGCUAGCGCGUCUGACUGUUAUUAUGCCGCCGAGGCAGGAGCAAUCAGGAGGUUGACAGUUCAAGCCUGUCCGGGGGAG